RNAcentral lists this ribosomal RNA (356 nucleotides) under uncultured cyanobacterium. RNAcentral describes it as "bacterial SSU rRNA". It matches the Rfam family "Bacterial small subunit ribosomal RNA", at positions 1 to 368 of the family's 1533-position model. Lineage: Bacteria; Bacillati; Cyanobacteriota. The record is from RNAcentral.
CAUGGCGGCCGCGUGGAAUUCUAUUAGAGUUUGUAUUCGGCUCAGGAUGAACGCUGGCGGUAUGCCUAACACAUGCAAGUCGAACGGUCACUUCGGUGAUAGUGGCGGACGGGUGAGUAACGCGUGAUAAUCUGCCUCUGGGUUGGGGACAACAGUUGGAAACGACUGCUAAUACCCAAUGUGCCGCAAGGUGAAAGAUUUAUUGCCAAGAGAGGAGCUCGCGUCUGAUUAGCUAGUUGGUGUUUUUUUGGCGUACCAAGGCAUCGAUCAGUAGCUGGUCUGAGAGGAUGAGCAGCCACACUGGGACUGAGACACGGACCAUACUCCUACUGGAGGCAGCAGUGGGAGAUUUUCCG